Molecule: ribosomal RNA, 463 nt
Filed under: uncultured bacterium
Lineage: Bacteria
Description: partial 16S ribosomal RNA
Rfam family: Bacterial small subunit ribosomal RNA
Source: RNAcentral
GACGAACGCUGGCGGCGUGCUUAACACAUGCGAGUCGAACGGUGAGGCCCUUCGGUGGGGCUGUGCGGGGGAGGGGUGAGGAAGAGGUGGGCGACCGGCACCCGGCCUUGGGAUAAGGACAAGAAAUUGGGGCUAAUACCGGAUGCUGACAGCUGCCCCCAUGGGAGGGGGUGAAAAGGGUUUCCGGCUGGGGAUGGGCUCGCGGCUUAUCAGCUUGUUGGUGGGGUAGUGGCGUACCAAGCCGAGGACGGGUAGCCGGCCUGAGAGGGUGACCGGCCACACUGGGACUGAGACACGGCCCAGACUCCUACGGGAGGCAGCAGUGGGGAAUAUUGCGCAAUGGGCGGAAGCCUGACGCAGCGACGCCGCGUGCGGGAUGACGGCCUUCGGGUUGUAAACCGCUUUCAGCUGUGACGAAGCGUAAGUGACGGUACCUGCAGAAGAAGCACCGGCUAACUACGUG